Molecule: ribosomal RNA, 492 nt
Filed under: uncultured bacterium
Lineage: Bacteria
Description: partial 16S ribosomal RNA
Rfam family: Bacterial small subunit ribosomal RNA
Source: RNAcentral
AGUGAACGCUGGCGGUAGGCCUAACACAUGCAAGUCGAACGGCAGCACAGUAAGAGCUUGCUCUUACGGGUGGCGAGUGGCGGACGGGUGAGGAAUACAUCGGAAUCUACUUUUUCGUGGGGGAUAACGUAGGGAAACUUACGCUAAUACCGCAUACGACCUACGGGUGAAAGCAGGGGAUCUUCGGACCUUGCGCGAUUGAAUGAGCCGAUGUCGGAUUAGCUAGUUGGCGGGGUAAAGGCCCACCAAGGCGACGAUCCGUAGCUGGUCUGAGAGGAUGAUCAGCCACACUGGAACUGAGACACGGUCCAGACUCCUACGGGAGGCAGCAGUGGGGAAUAUUGGACAAUGGGCGCAAGCCUGCUCCAGCCAUACCGCGUGGAUGAAGAAGGCCUUCGGGUUGUAAAGCCCUUUUGUUGGGAAAGAAAAGCAGCAGGUUAAUACCCCGCUGUUCUGACGGUACCCAAAGAAUAAGCACCGGCUAACUUCGUG